GGGGGCGAUAAGGUUUCGACGGGGUGAGUGAGGAAAGUAUAAAGCGUGUGGUUGAUGACUUGAAACCUAAAAACUGGUCAAAAAAAUAAACGCAAAUAAUAACUAUCAAACUGUAAAGGCUGCUGCCUAACAGUCGCUUAUGGAUGUCUUUCCACUUUGGAUAGCCAAAGCGUCAAACUAAAAGUGGAUAGCGAUUUUUAGCAAUACCUUGAGUUAAAAAUUGAAAUUUUAUAGGUUCGAUUGAGAAAAUUUGUUUGUGGACUAUUCUCAAUUUAAAUUCAAACACAAACUGCACACGGAGAAAGGCUUUUUAAACUUGUUUCGGACGCGGGUUCAAUUCCCGCCGUCUCCACCA
RNAcentral lists this transfer-messenger RNA (355 nucleotides) under Clostridiales bacterium. It matches the Rfam family "transfer-messenger RNA". From Rfam's summary of the family: Bacterial tmRNA, also known as 10Sa RNA or SsrA, is named for its dual tRNA and mRNA-like properties. RNAcentral also lists the same sequence under 2 other names. Lineage: Bacteria; Bacillati; Bacillota; Clostridia; Eubacteriales. The record is from RNAcentral.